GGUUAUGGCUCAGUGGUAGAGUGCUUUCCUAGCAUGUGCAAGGCCCUGGGUUCAAUCCUCAGCACCA
Molecule: transfer RNA, 67 nt
Filed under: Marmota monax (woodchuck)
Lineage: Eukaryota; Metazoa; Chordata; Mammalia; Rodentia; Sciuridae
Description: tRNA.Ala
Source: RNAcentral